This 218-nucleotide long non-coding RNA is filed under the name Elaeis guineensis (African oil palm). RNAcentral's name for it is "long non-coding RNA (EGUI_LNC042023)". Lineage: Eukaryota; Viridiplantae; Streptophyta; Magnoliopsida; Arecales; Arecaceae. The record is from RNAcentral.
CCCACUAUGAUCCAUUUCCCCUGCCAUUUGUUCUAAAUGUGCACCAACUCUUGGAAGAAAUCUAGUCGCCAACAUUGAUCAUUUGGCUGUACACAUUUGUGAUUAGCCAUUGCAUCUCAUUCAUAGGAGGCUGUUAAAGGUGAUGUAGGGUACUAAGUGAGAAUUCACCUUGAUAGAAUGUCAGGUCAUCAACUAGAGAUGAGUUCCAGACAUUUAGG